RNAcentral lists this ribosomal RNA (740 nucleotides) under uncultured bacterium. RNAcentral's name for it is "bacterial SSU rRNA". It matches the Rfam family "Bacterial small subunit ribosomal RNA", at positions 8 to 796 of the family's 1533-position model. The record is from RNAcentral.
AGAGUUUGAUCCUGGCUCAGAACGAACGCUGGCGGCAGGCUUAACACAUGCAAGUCGAGCGCUCAGCAAUGAGAGCGGCGCACGGGUGAGUAACACGUGGGAACGUGCCCUUUGGUUCGGAAUAACUCAGGGAAACUUGAGCUAAUACCGGAUAAGCCCUUACGGGGAAAGAUUUAUCGCCAUUGGAGCGGCCCGCGUCCGAUUAGCUAGUUGGUGAGGUAAAGGCUCACCAAGGCAACGAUCGGUAGCUGGUCUGAGAGGACGACCAGCCACACUGGGACUGAGACACGGCCCAGACUCCUACGGGAGGCAGCAGUGGGGAAUCUUGGACAAUGGGGGAAACCCUGAUCCAGCCAUGCCGCGUGAGUGAUGAAGGCCCUAGGGUUGUAAAACUCUUUCGGCGGGGACGAUAAUGACGGUACCCGCAGAAGAAGCUCCGGCUAACUUCGUGCCAGCAGCCGCGGUAAUACGAAGGGGGCUAGCGUUGUUCGGAAUUACUGGGCGUAAAGCGCGCGCAGGCGGUUCUUCAAGUCAGAGGUGAAAGCCCAGAGCUCAACUCUGGAAUGGCCUUUGAGACUAGAGAACUUGGGUACGGGAGAGGUGAGUGGAAUUCCGAGUGUAGAGGUGAAAUUCGUAGAUAUUCGGAAGAACACCAGUGGCGAAGGCGGCUCACUGGCCCGUUACCGACGCUCAGGCGCGACAGCGUGGGGAGCAAACAGGAUUAGAUACCCCCGUAGUCC